Molecule: long non-coding RNA, 4767 nt
Organism: Scophthalmus maximus (turbot)
Lineage: Eukaryota; Metazoa; Chordata; Actinopteri; Pleuronectiformes; Scophthalmidae
Exons: 3
Source: RefSeq, a predicted model, not a curated record
CCGGCUCCUCCUGUCCACAUCGACCAGGAAGAGACACAGGAUCCGCGUCCAUAACAUUUUCAAAAUAAAAUAUCCGCCAGCCGUGACUGAGUGACAACUAAGCCCCCAGGACAGCGCUGCUGUUUCCUUUCGGGGCGGACGUGUCCUACACUAACACCAAGUGAUACAGCUGUUCUACAGAUAAAAGUAACUGGACUCACGAUGUAGAAAAACGAUUGUGCGGUGUGUGUGCUACACCGGUCAACUUCCGGUUUUUCCCACUUGACUAUUUGUGCCUUGACACCUCUGGAAGGCAGACUCUGGAUGUUGACAACACACGGCCAAUGAAAACUACGCUGUCCCGGGACAUCAACCAAUCACGUGUGAGGAAGGGCGUGGUAAAAGACAGGUAUGCAUGUCCCCAUCUGUGGUGCUAAGAGCCCGACGCGUUGGUGUUCCAGCGCUGCACAUCUCAGAGAUCACCCGUGUCGUCGGAGGGGCUUGUCCGGUACCCGAAGUGCGAACUCCAAGCAGACGAGCAUCAGAUCAACUCGACGAUGUGAAGCUGGAUGUGGGCACAGCUGAGUCUGGCGUGUUGUCCCUCCUCCUCCACGGUGUCGCUCCGGUGUGAGAGCUGAUCCCGGCAAGGCGAGCGCGUCGUCCGAUUGUCUCCGCUGUCAUUCCCCUGGCUGAAGGUCACACAUCGGGCUGAAUCGCGAUUUGUAUGCAGCGAUACAGUCCAGCUGGUAUUAUUAAGGACGAUGACAAUUAAUGACACUAAUAAUAGGCUGACUUGUGAAAUACUGCCCCUUCUUUACUGUGUGCUGUAUGUCUUGUAAUUACUAUCUAGCUGUGAGCGAUUGUGGUCUUAAUAAUCCUCUGACGGAUGGUUUCUCCUAAAGCUUCCUCUCUGAUGGCUGUAGAGAUACCAAUGAGGAAGCAACUUCAUCCCUGUCAUGUUCACUGUUGAUUAUAUUAGAUACAUGUCUGCUGCAAAUAAGACAAAUAGGGGACAGCUAUUGUAAUGAAGGUGCAUUACCUGCCUUCGUCACACAUUUUUCAAACAGGACGCCUCAGUGUGACGGCAGCCCGGUAAUGAUGAACAGACUGAUGCUGAAGUGUGUGUGUGCGCGCUCGCGCGCGUGUGCUGAUAAGGUAAAAUGAACCUGAGCAUAAUCAAGCUAUUUCAGGCCACAUUACAAGGCGAUCGCGCCCCUGCUCAGACUCUAGCCUUCACGAUAGAGGGGGGAAUAAUCAGCCGGAUGAGAUAAAGGCGGUGAUCUAUCAUCGGGGCUGCAGGGCAGCAGGGAUUUUCCAAGCCGCCGGGGUACGGAUGGCCCCUUAUACUCCGAGAGGACGAUCCAUCAUUUAACAUACUAACAAGGCGAGGGAUUUUAACAUGAAAGAUAACGCAGGUGCGCUGUUAUCAGGUGCUCCCGGAGACCUCGGCUCGCGCUGAUGGGGAAAGCUCUCUUAUCUCCGGCCCGGGAGAAGGCUGACCUCGUGACACUGCGAGAGAGCAGCCCAAAAGAAAGUGUUCAACGCCGUAAAGUGAAAAAAUAUAGCAUCUAUAUUGUGUAAUUAAUGGACGGAUUAUAGGCCACGGUGAGAGUAUUAUUUCUGUGUGAGCCCAUGAAUUAUAAGGAUGAGAAUGUGAAGUUCUUGUUCAGUUAGAUAAUCAGACUGAAAGGACAUUUUUCUCAACUCAAUUCAUUGAGCCUGACAUUGUGUUCACGUCUCUCCUUCCUGAUCAGUAGAAAAAACAAAGUCUCUUUCCCAACACAGACGCUACCGAAGUUAAUGAGAGCAGCGAUCGUGCUGCCAGGCAAGAACGUCAAUCUGAAUAUACUGUACGUACUGUGAGGAAACUGACCGUCUGUAUGUUAGCGUGUGUCCUAUUCAUCCCAUCCACUUGAAACUUGGCAGUUGUUUCGCUGGUGCCUAAGGAAGUAACAUUCAAUAUGAAUACAUUUUUCAAUAAACAGCUGAAUAGCACUGUACUGCUCUACAGUACACAAUCAUCCAUUCACACACACAUUCAUACUGCGCUACUACAUAUAACGCUUCUUAUAUCACACAUUGAGGCUUGAGUGUCUUGCCCAAGGACACUUUGGCGCACAGAUUGGCUGUGGAUCGGACCCUCGGCCUUCUGGUUAGUUGGACAACCACCUGGACCUCCCCAACCCCCAGCUCCCCCCCUAUUGGUGAGCGGCCGGUGACCUCCGACCUGCGCAGAGUCGACCCACACAAGGCCCCUGGCCCUGACAGGCUCAGAGGCAGGGUGCUCGAAGAACGCUCCUCUCAGAUAGGUGGAGCUCUCAACAGGCUGUUCCAGCACCUCCUGGUUUCUGGCUGUGUCCCCAACCAGUGGAAGGAAUCCACCAUGAAUCCAAUUCCCCAAAAAGACACCUACUAAGGACCUGGAGGACUACCGACCAGUGGCUCCAUCAUAUGUGUUGUGUAAAUGUUAGGAGAGAGUAGCGUGUAGUCUGUCGAACAUGCUGUCAGACAAACUGGACCCACUUCAGUUUGCCUAUACGGGAAAAAACGCGGUGUCGAGGUUGCAGUUCUCCCACUUUUAGACUCUUUCAGUCACCAAACAUCUGGACUCUGCACACUCACACACUAGGAAAACCUCCUCACCACCAAAACCCUCCUGCAUAAUAAAUCAUUAUACUAGAAAUCAUUCCAGUAGAAUAAUCGGCUCACACCAAACCCUCCCUAUCUGAGCUGUACAACCGCUCUGUGACCAGGAAAGCCACCCUAAUCUCAGAGGACCCCUCCCACCCCCUCAACUGCUCUUUCCAGGUACUACCAUCGGGCAGACGGUACAAAGUCCCUCUGGCCCGGAAAAACAUUUACAGUCCAUUGCGCAUCUGCUGUAUGUGAAAUUUAAUGUUUUUUUAAUGUCAUACGUAUUAUCUGUCUAUCUAUCUAUCUGUCUGUCUGUUUGUCUUACCCGCUCCGUCUCUUUAGCCACAGCCAGUGGCACAUUUAAAAACGGAUUCUUCCGUGCAUGGUCCUGCAGCGCCCCGGGUCGGGCUUCACCGAAUAGCUACAGCAGCGGGGGCUCCGCUGAUUUAUGGCAGAUCACUCAAGAAAGCUGUAAUCAGCUUUACCACAGGCCGAGCACAUGGCAGAUUCGGGAUGCAAACACACGCCAAGCAGGCACUGUUUAGAACAGGCACUGCAUCAAUAAUGCUAAUUCUCGAAAAACAGCCAUUUUUUUACGUUCAGUGACAGAGUUUUGUUUGAGUUUUUACUUGUAAUCAUUGUUUCUAAAAUUCUUGUAGGAUUAGGGUUGGGAAACAUUUCCACCACCUUAACUUUCACAUCCAUACAUGCGUAAAAUACUUCACUAGCAAUGAGCACUGGGACUAGAUGUAAAUCAUGAGCUUUGAAUUGUAUUACCUUACUUGUGGAGCAGAACCUCAAAGUACUGGCUUAGUUAUGGAUAUCUAUCUACCCUGACUAUUACACACAUUUAUGUAAAUGUUGGCUGCCUGAUCUUGUGGGUAUGUAAAUAAUAUUUCAAGGACAUCCUUUGAGUGGCCUGAGGAGCUACUUGACUGGUGCUAUUGAGUUUCCCCUGUCUGCACCCGAUCAAUGCUAUCAAAACUGUUGCUAUCCUGUUCCGUUCAUCCUGUGGAUGGACUGACUUUUUCCAUAAGUCUUCCUUGGAAGAAAUACUCCCUGGCUCCCUUCCCCUCCCCUUUGCCUCUCAAGGACAGAACGGUGAGGAGCAGAUGCUGUGCCGCAACCUGAUCUAUAUUCUGGACAGGCAGUGUACUAUAUAAAGAAAGUGAUGGGGCUUUGUAAGUCUACCUGCCUCACUUUCCUCCAAAACUUCCCGAAGCCUUUCUUCACAGGCGAGCGUCAGAUAAGGCCGGCUGUAGGGAGAGGUGAAGAAGUCUGCGUUUACCAACACUGCUGUCGUCUCAGUGCUCACUGCUCCGACCCCUUCAAUUCUCCAUCUACUCAAUUGGUAUUGCAACACAUUUUGAUAUCAUCGUGUGUAAUAUCAGAUAGAACAUUUGGAAAAUCAAACCCAGUCUCCAAUUCUUUGUGCCGCAUUCACAGCGUAAGUGCAGGGUGAGCACGUUUCUGAGGAGAGAGUCAUGUUUUCUUCGCUUGUGUUCAGUGAUGCACGCCACGUCAGGCAAAAUUGUGAUUAGUGACAGUGACAUCCUUUAAAUCAGCUAACAACUGUAUGACCACUAGGUCAUAAUGUCACAGAUUCAAUGUGCUAAAACAUAAAGAAACAACAGAGAGAAUGACCUUUGAACACAAAGAAAAUUACAAAACAACGCUGAUAUCAAAAUAUGAACUGUUGAUAGUAAAGUCAGAUGACACAGUUAUUUAUCAAAUAUUUCACCGGUUCUGACGCGUCAUAAGGUCAAAGCUACAAAUCGAAGCAGUUGAAGAUUUUGUACCCAAUACCAACUUUCAUUCAACAGAGGUAGAAAGGGAAGACGACGACAGAAAUUGAUGUGAAUGGUCUGGCACAGUGUACAAGAACAUUGACUGUGGUUCACUAGGCCAAGGGUUCAACAACCACCUCAGUAGAGAUUCUAGGUUUAAAGUCUUGAGAAUGUUGAUGGAUUUUGUACGCAAUACCAACUUUCAUCCAACAGAGGUAGAAAGGGAAGACGACGAACAAUGUUACUGUGGCUGGUGUGGCACAAUGGACAAGAACACUUACUAAGGAUCAGUAAGUCGAGGGUUCAAAACCAACUCACUAUAGAUUCUCAAGCAAGGAUGAGCAAGUCAAUCAGGUCUCGAGUCUUA